RNAcentral lists this long non-coding RNA (1166 nucleotides) under Bemisia tabaci. Its description in RNAcentral is "lncRNA ENSSSA3NGG004749". The record is from RNAcentral. Lineage: Eukaryota; Metazoa; Arthropoda; Insecta; Hemiptera; Aleyrodidae.
UGAGUGCCAAGCAUUGACAUGCACUCCCAAGCAUUGGCACUGAACCCCAAUCAUUGGGUUGAGUGCCAAGCAUUGGCAUGCACUCCCAAGCAUUGGCACUGAACCCCAAUCCUUGGGGUUGAGUUCCAAGCAUUGUCAUGCACUCCCAAGCAUUGGCACUGAACCCCAAUCAUAGGGGUUGAGUGCCAAGUAUUGGCAUGCACUCCCAAGCAUUGGCACUGAACCCCAAUCAUUGGGGUUGAGUGCCAAGCAUUGGCAUGCACUCCCAAGCAUUGGCACUGAACCCCAAUCAAUGGGGUUGAGUGCCAAGAUUGGCAUUAACUCCCAAGUAUUGGCACUGAACCCCAAUCAUUGGGGUUGAGUGCCAAGCAUUAGCAUGCACUCCCAAGCAGGAGCACUGAACCCCAAUCAUUCGGGUUGAGUGCCAAGCAUUGCCGCUGAACACAAAUCAUUGGGACUGGGUGCCAAGCUUUGGCAUGCACUCCCAAGCAUUGGCAUGCACUCCCAAGUAUUGGCACUGAACCCCAAUCAUUGGGGUUGAGUGCCAAGCUUUGGCAUGCACUCCCAAGCAUUGGCACUGAACCCCAAUCAUUGGGGUUGAGUGCCAAGCAUUGGCAUGCACUCCCAAGCAUCGGCACUGAACCCCAAUCAUUGGGUUGAGUGCCAAGCAGUGGCAUGCACUCCCAAGUAUUGGCACUUAACCCCAAUCAUUGGAGUUGAGUGCGAAGCAUUGGCUUGCACUCCCAAGCAUUGGCAUGCACUCCCAAACAUUGGCACCGCAUGCAAAUAGAUUAAAGUGCUUGCCGGACUGUGCUCGACGACAAAAAUGCACUGGCACUCGAUGGGAAGGUCUGGGAAAAAAAUUCCCAAUGGUUCCCACCGCAUUCCAAUGGCUUCCCGGUGCUGGCCGGUUUCUCCUCGACACCAAACGUGCACUGGCACUUGAUGGGAAGGUCUGGGAAAAAAAUUCCCCAUGGUUCCCACCGCAUGCAAAUAGAUUCAAAGUGCUUGCCGGACUGUGCUCGACACCCCCAGUGCACUGGCACUCAAUGGAAGGUUCUGGAAAAAAAUUCCACAUGGUUCGCACAGCAUGCCAAUAUCUUCCCAGUGCUUGCCAGACUGUGCUCGACACCAAAAAUGCACUGGCACUCGAUGGGAAGGUCUGA